GCCACCUCCCCUAGCGCGCCUCCGCUGGCCCCCUUCACCAGCGCGCCUCCAUCGGCCACUGCCCAGUGCGCCGCCCCCCCCCCCCCCAACGCGCCUCCGCCGGCCCCCUUCGCCAGCGCGCCUCCAUCAGCCCCUGCCCAGUGCGCUGUCGCCGCCCCCUCCCCCAGCGCGCCUCCGCCGGCCCCCUCCCCCAGCGCGCCUCUGUCGGUCCCUGGCCAGUGCGCCGCCGCCGCCCCCUACCCCAGCGCGGCUCCGCCAGCCCUUGCUAAGCGCGCCGCAGCCGACCCCCUCCCCCAACGCACCUCCGCCGCCCCCUGCCCUAGUGCGCCGCCGCCAAAACCCUGUCGGGCAUGCCGCCGUCGGCCUCCUGCCCAGCACGCCGCCGCCACGACCUCCCUCCCUCAGUGCGGCGCCACCUACCUCCGAGCACCGCCGGUCUUCGCGCACAACUAUCCCACUGCUGCCUCGUGCGCCAACUCUGUCCUGAGGCUAGCCACGGUGGUGGAUCACCGAGGGAUGGCCGGUCCUUUCCACCGGCGGCCGCACUCCCGACGUGUCUCGUGCGAUUGCGCCAAUAGAGGCUUGCUUCCAUCACCAUCCUCCUUCCAGAGUAAAAUGGCAAUGGCGACAACGUCCAGUAGGUCCUCCUGUGCCUCUGCUCACCCCGCCUUCACCACCGGCCAGCCGUGCAAAUCCCUCUAAAAAAGUUCAGCCUCCUAGUUGAAGUUCACCUCCAUGUGCUGCUCCACUCGUAGCUCCCAGCCUACCCUCGAGCAAGUAUGUGCCAUGCACGAGAUCAGUUCAACCUGUGCACUUGCUCGACCUCGAUGCUUGUGGCAGUCCCACAAGGACGAGUGUGGUCUACAAUCGAGCAGUUGGUUCCCAAGAGAGUUCCUGGCCGAAGGUGGGCUUCCACGUUGAGGUGUGGAACGCAAUGUACAUGGAGAUCCUGAUGUAGUAGUAGUACAAUGAUGGCGAUGUUGCGCAGGUGGACCUCAUGGAGUUCGGCUGGGCUGGCGGCGGUCGGCGGUGGACGCGGGUCCAUGAGUUGUGGGGCUCCAUCUGCCGCUCGACCACCGCUUACUCCCACUCUGUUCACUGGUUUUGUUUUCACUCUCACGCCUGUUCCUCGUCGACCUGCAGUAGCAGGAGACACGAGAUCACCUCCGGCACCGCUGGUCACAUGAAGGCCGUCAAAGAUGUUAUAUUCUCCGUAAAAAUAGGUGUUUGCUUAUCUAUAUUCUCUAUUGUUGAAUUGUAGCACACAUAUUUUCCUCGCGUGCCCCAGUGAGGCCGAUCCCUCAUCAUGGAAACAUAGAGCUUCCAUUCACAAGUACACCAACAUGUUUGGUGCUCGUUCAUAAGUGCUUGUUCAUGCAGAUCUCAUAUCCUUGUGUGUGCGCCUGUGUUGAUGAACUUUGUGCUAAAAUGAGUUCAACUGAAUUUAGACCUCUGUACAAAGUUCAACUAAGCCCUUGACACCCCUGUUACAAUGUGAUAUACAUGCUGCCAAUCUCGCAUUGACGAUGAAAAUUCAUUAGAAACAAAAGUUCAAUUUUGCUAAUUCCUGAAGUUCUGUGGUUAGCACAAACUGGUGGUUCAUUUUGCUAAUUGUUGCGGCCUACAAUUUCUUUUUGUUUUGCUAAAAAUGGUAAUUUUGGUUUGUCAGAAGAUGGUGAACUAUGGGAGUACUUUCCUUGCUCUUUCUGCUACAUCAAGGUCGAAAAAGCCCUUCAUCUGCAUCCAUCUGCGGCAGGAACACUGCUUUGACAUCAGGAACUAUAUGAGAGAGUCUCUCCUCUCUUUUCCUUUUGCCUUCUAAUCCCCAAGUGUUCGUUAUUGCAUAUUAGUUUUGAUCAAGACAUAACCUUGAGCUAAUAAAAUGUUCUUGCUGGAAAUGCAUUUACAAAAUUAUUGACAUCUUUUAGUUAGUAAGGCUGUAAGAAAUCUAGAGAUCCCUAGUAUGCCAGUAUAUGUUUCUUUAUACAAUCCCAAAUGAAUUAUAUAGCUCCUGAUAACAGAAUAAAUAUUCUGGAAAAAGCUCAAAUACUAUCAUACGGUCAGUUCAAAAAAAUCUGACGAGCACUUGCAAUGUACAUAGUUUUUGCAGAAAAGAUUUCAAAAACUCGGGUUCAACGAGUUAAUGAAUUGCUAUAAGUUCAAAUUUCCUAAUAUCUACAGUUCAGGUUGAGGAAUUUAGGUAGUUC
Triticum aestivum (bread wheat) is the source of this 2207-nucleotide long non-coding RNA. RefSeq lists it as uncharacterized. The transcript has 3 exons. The record is from RefSeq and is a predicted model, not a curated record. Lineage: Eukaryota; Viridiplantae; Streptophyta; Magnoliopsida; Poales; Poaceae.